UACGGAAGGUGCGAGCGUUGUUCGGAUUGAUUGGGCGUAAAGCGCACGUAGGCGGGUUUGUAUGUCGGAUGUGAAAUCCCCGGGCUUAACCCGGGAGCGCCAUCCGAAACUGCAGAUCUUGAAUAUCUGAGGGGUCGGUGGAAUUCCAGGUGUAGGAGUGAAAUCCGUAGAUAUCUGGAGGAACAUCAGAGGCGAAGGCGGCCGACUGGCAGAAUAUUGACGCUAAGGUGCGAAAGCGUGGGGAGCAAACAGG
This 253-nucleotide ribosomal RNA is filed under the name uncultured bacterium. Its description in RNAcentral is "partial 16S ribosomal RNA". It matches the Rfam family "Bacterial small subunit ribosomal RNA", at positions 524 to 776 of the family's 1533-position model. The record is from RNAcentral.